UACGUAGGGUGCAAGCGUUAAUCGGAAUUACUGGGCGUAAAGCGUGCGCAGGCGGUUCCAUAAGACAGAUGUGAAAUCCCCGGGCUCAACCUGGGAACUGCAUUUGUGACUGUGGGGCUAGAGUACGGUAGAGGGGGAUGGAAUUCCGCGUGUAGCAGUGAAAUGCGUAGAUAUGCGGAGGAACACCAAUGGCGAAGGGAAUCCCCGGGACCUGUAUUGACGCUCAUGCACGAAAGCGUGGGGAGCAAACAGG
Molecule: ribosomal RNA, 253 nt
Filed under: uncultured bacterium
Lineage: Bacteria
Description: partial 16S ribosomal RNA
Rfam family: Bacterial small subunit ribosomal RNA
Source: RNAcentral